RNAcentral lists this ribosomal RNA (473 nucleotides) under uncultured bacterium. RNAcentral's name for it is "bacterial SSU rRNA". It matches the Rfam family "Bacterial small subunit ribosomal RNA", at positions 27 to 518 of the family's 1533-position model. The record is from RNAcentral.
GGACGAACGCUGGCGGCGUGCCUAACACAUGCAAGUCGAGCGAGGAGAUCCUCGGGAUGAUCCUAGCGGCGGACGGGUGAGUAACACGUGGGCAACCUGCCUCAUAGAGAGGAAUAGCCUUCCGAAAGGGAGAUUAAUACCUCAUAACAUUGCAGUUUCGCAUGGAACAGCAAUUAAAGGAGCAAUCCACUAUGAGAUGGGCCCGCGGCGCAUUAGCUAGUUGGUGAGGUAACGGCUCACCAAGGCGACGAUGCGUAGCCGACCUGAGAGGGUGAUCGGCCACAUUGGGACUGAGACACGGCCCAGACUCCUACGGGAGGCAGCAGUGGGGAAUAUUGCACAAUGGGGGAAACCCUGAUGCAAGCAACGCCGCGUGAGUGAUGACGGCCUUCGGGUUGUAAAGCUCUGUCUUCAGGGACGAUAAUGACGGUACCUGAGGAGGAAGCCACGGCUAACUACGUGCCAGCCGCAGC